RNAcentral lists this ribosomal RNA (497 nucleotides) under uncultured bacterium. RNAcentral describes it as "partial 16S ribosomal RNA". It matches the Rfam family "Bacterial small subunit ribosomal RNA", at positions 28 to 507 of the family's 1533-position model. The record is from RNAcentral.
GAUGAACGCUGGCGGCGUGCCUAAUACAUGCAAGUCGAGCGAACAGACGAGGAGCUUGCUCCUCUGACGUUAGCGGCGGACGGGUGAGUAACACGUGGAUAACCUACCUAUAAGACUGGGAUAACUUCGGGAAACCGGAGCUAAUACCGGAUAAUAUAUUGAACCGCAUGGUUCAAUAGUGAAAGACGGUUUUGCUGUCACUUAUAGAUGGAUCCGCGCCGCAUUAGCUAGUUGGUAAGGUAACGGCUUACCAAGGCAACGAUGCGUAGCCGACCUGAGAGGGUGAUCGGCAACACUGGAACUGAGACACGGUCCAGACUCCUACGGGAGGCAGCAGUAGGGAAUCUUACGCAAUGGGCGAAAGCAUGACGGAGCAACGCCGCGUGAGUGAUGAAGGUCUUCGGAUCGUAAAACUCUGUUAUUAGGGAAGAACAAAUGUGUAAGUAACUAUGCACGUCUUGACGGUACCUAAUCAGAAAGCCACGGCUAACUACGUG